UCCCGUUGAUCCUGCGGGAGGCCGCUGCUAUUGGGAUUCGAGUAAGACAUGCAAGUCUAAUCUCUUCGGAGGUUGGCGAAAGGCUCAGUAACACGUCGAUAAUCUGCCCUAUGGUCUGGAAUAACCUCGGGAAACUGAGGGUAAACCGGAUAGAAGAUUGAUACUGGAAGGUUCUUUCUUUGAAAGGUAACGCCAUAGGAUGGGUCGGCGGCUGAUUAGGCUGUUGGUGAGGUAACGGCUCACCAAACCUUAGAUCAGUAGGGGGUAUGGGAGUACUAACCCCGAGAAGGGCACUGAGACAAGGGCCCUAGCCUCAAGGGGUGCAGCAGUCGCGAAACCCUUACAAUGCGCGCAAGCGUGAUAAGGGGAUCCCAAGUGCUCACGUACUGCGUGGGCUUUUGCCAAGUGUAAAAAGCUUGCGAAUAAGUGGUGGGUAAUACCGGUGCCAGCCGCCGCGGUAACACCGGAGCCACAAGUGGGGGCCAGUUUUAUUGGGUCUAAAGCGUUCGUAGCCGGUUUGGUAGGUCUUUUGUGAAAUUGUUGAGCUUAACUUAACAACGUGCAAAAGAUACCGCCAGACUAGAGACCGGGAGGCGCCAAGAGUAUGCCUAGGGGAGCGGUAAAAUGCUUUAAUCCUUGGUAGACUACCGAUAGCGAAGGCACUUGGCGAGAACGGGUCCGACGGUCAGGGACGAAGGCUGGGGGAGCAAAACGGAUUAGAUACCCGUGUAGUCCCAGCAGUAAACGCUGCUCAUUAGGUGUUGCAUAUCCUACGAGGGUAUGCAGUGCCGUAGCGAAGGCGUUAAAUGAGCCACCUGGGUAGUACGGCCGCAAGACUGAAACUUUAAGGAAUUGGCGGGGGCGCACUACAAGGAGUGACGCGUGCGGUUUAAUCUAACUCCACACAGAAAAUCUCACUAGCAGCGACGGCAGAAUGAAGGUCAGAUUGAAGGUUUUACCUGUCAAGCCGAGAGAUAUUGCAUGGCCGCCGUCAGCUCGUGCUGCAAGGUGUCCGGUUAAGUCCGGCAACGAGCGAGACCUGCACCAUUAUUUGCUAGCGAGUCCUUUAGGAUGAUCGAGCACAAUAAUGGGACCGCCUUGGUAACAUGGAGGAAGGUGCAGGCAACGGUAGGUCUGUAUGGUUCGAAUCUGCUAGGCUACACGCGCGCGGCAAUGGCAAGGACAAUGAGCUGCAACUCUGAAAAGAGAAGCUAAACCUCGAAACCUUGUCUUAGUUCAGAUUGUGGGCUGUAACUCGCCCACAUGACGCUGGAAUUCCUAGUAAUCGCUUAUCAUUAAUGAGCGGUGAAUAUGUCCCUGUGCCUUGCACACACUGCCCGUCAAAUCAACCGAGCAGGGCUUAAGUGAGAUCUGCUUUACGGAGCGGCUCGAACUUAGGUUCAGUGAGGUGGGUUAAGUCGUCACAAGGUA
This 1431-nucleotide ribosomal RNA is filed under the name metagenome. RNAcentral describes it as "bacterial SSU rRNA". It matches the Rfam family "Archaeal small subunit ribosomal RNA". The record is from RNAcentral.